AACCUGGUUGAUCCUGCCAGUAGUCAUAUGCUUGUUUUCAAGAUUAAGCCAUGCAUGUCUAAGUAUAAAUGAAUAUACAGUGUAAACUGCGAACGGCUCAUUCAAACAGUUAUAAGUUAUUUGAUAUUUCGGAUACACCAAUAUGGAUAACCGUAGUAAUUCUAGAGCUAAUACAUGCGUUACGGGCGACUUCUCGGAAGCCCAGUAUUAUUAGAUAUUUCAAACCAUCAUUCCGCAAGGUCUACUGAGAUGAUUCAUGAUAACUAGUCGAAUGCCGGUUCUUCCGGCAUAUGUCAUUCAUGUUUCUGCUUCCCAUCAGCUAGAUUGUAGUGUAUUGGACAACAAUGGCAUUCACGGGCAACCGGGGGAUUAGGGUUCGAUUCCGGAGAGGGAGCCUGAUAAACGGCUACCACUUCUACGGAAGGCAGCAGGCGCGAAAAUUAUCCAAUCCUGACUUAGGGAGGUAGUGUAAAAACUAAUAAUGAACUGGGAUUAUUUUUUUAUCCUGGGAUCACAAUGGGCUUGAUUUGCAAAUUUUUUUAUUAUUAGCGAGGAACAAUUGGAGGGCAAGUCUGGUGCCAGCAGCCGCGGUAAUUCCAGCUCCAAUAGUGUAUAUUAACGUUCCUGCAGUUAUUCGAUGCUCGUAGUUGGAUUUCUGGGGGUUGAGUUAGGAGGGUGGCUAUUGCCAUCGCCGAUCUCAUCCCUCGUCCGCCUGUUAACUGUGCUCGAGAUUGACUUCUCGACGCAGGGCUCAGGCACUUUGAUAUAUUUACCCUUUUUAUAUAAAUAAAGUUACACUCUCAUUAUGGCGUGAGCUAUCAAGUCACAAUGGAGUCAAUUAACUUAUUCUUCUUUUUGAGCAAAUUAUAGUGUUUCAGGCAGGCGUGCGCCGGAAUACAUUAGCAUGGAAUAAUCUUACGGACCGUGCGCGGGUUCGCCCGCUUCUCCUUAUUUGUUGGUUUCUUUAAGGACACGGAAUGAUUAAUAGGGAUAGUUGAGAGUUUUUCUCACCAGGGGAGGCAUUAGUAUUUAAUUUCCAGAGGUGAAAUUCUUUGAAAUUUUUUUAAGACUAACUUAUGCGAAAGCAUUUUUUUUUUAUCUGCCAAGAAUGUUUUUUUUAUUAUCGAACAGAACGAAAGUUAGGGGAUCAAAGACGAUCAGAUACCGUCCUAGUCUUAACCAUAAACGUUGCCGACUAGGGAUCGGAGGGCGUGCACAUUCCGCCUUCGGCACCUUACGAGAAAUCAUAAGUAUUUUGGGUUCUGGGGGUAGUAUGGUCGCAAGGCUGAAACUUAAAGGAAUUGACGGAAGGGCACCACCAGGAGUGGAGCUUGCGGCUCAAUUUGACUCAACACGGGAAAUCUUACCAGGUCCAGACAUAGGAAGGAAAUUGACAGAUUGAUAGCUCUUUCUUGAUUCUAUGGGUUGAUUCGGUGGUGCAUGGCCGUUCUUAGUUGGUGGAGUGAUUUGUCUGGUUAAUUCCGAUAUUUUUUUAAUACAAACGAACGAGACCUCAGCCUGCUAAAUAGUUAUCAGUCUUUUAUGUGCUUGCACAACCGAGACUGACCAACUUCUUAGAGGGACUUUGUGCGCAAUCAGAAAGGAAGUUUGAGGCAAUAACAGGUCUGUGAUGCCCUUAGAUGUCCUGGGCCGCACGCGUGCUACACUGAUACGUACAACAAGGUAUUAUUACUUUUUUUAGGCUACUCCGAAAUAGAUUAUCAUUUGGCUAAAUCUCCAAUACGUAUCGUGCUGCGGAUAGAUCGUUGUAUUCAAUAAUUAUGGAUCUUGAAGGAGGAAUUCCUAGUAAGCGCAAGUCAUCGGCUUGCGUUGAUUACGUCCCUGCCCUUUGUACACACCGCCCGUCGCUCCUACCAAUUUCGAGUGGCUCGGUGAGCCUUUCUUCUCUCGACCUCGUGGUAACACGUAAUGUACGAAGAAUUGCAAACCUGGUCACUUAGAGGAAGGAGAAGUCGUAACAAGGUUUCCGUAGGUGAACCUGCAGAAGGAUCA
This 2013-nucleotide ribosomal RNA is filed under the name Euplotes qatarensis. Its description in RNAcentral is "SSU rRNA". It matches the Rfam family "Eukaryotic small subunit ribosomal RNA". The record is from RNAcentral. Lineage: Eukaryota; Ciliophora; Spirotrichea; Euplotida; Euplotidae.